AAUAAACCGUUGACGUGGAGAUAACGGUGUAUCGUGCAGUUACAGAGAGCGGGGAAGGCUGAGAGCCUCGCACAACGCAGAGCAUCAAAUGGACCACUGAGGGCGCAGUCAAAGGAAAUGACCAUUUCCGAGUAUUCUGCGACGUGACGCAUACGUCAGUUGCGAGGGAUAUGUUAGUAUCCUGCAGAGUGUACAGGGAUUUUUCUCUGUAAAUUAAGGUGGUACCGCGGGUUGCAUUUUUGCGCUCGUCCUUGAU
Molecule: non-coding RNA, 256 nt
Filed under: Acetobacterium wieringae
Lineage: Bacteria; Bacillati; Bacillota; Clostridia; Eubacteriales; Eubacteriaceae
Source: RNAcentral